Molecule: ribosomal RNA, 253 nt
Filed under: uncultured bacterium
Lineage: Bacteria
Description: partial 16S ribosomal RNA
Rfam family: Bacterial small subunit ribosomal RNA
Source: RNAcentral
UACGUAGGGAGCAAGCGUUGUCCGGAUUUACUGGGUGUAAAGGGCGUGUAGGCGGGAUUGCAAGUCAGAUGUGAAAUUCCGGGGCUCAACCCCGGAACUGCAUUUGAAACUGUAGUUCUUGAGUACUGGAGAGGCAGGCGGAAUUCCUAGUGUAGCGGUGAAAUGCGUAGAUAUUAGGAGGAACACCAGUGGCGAAGGCGGCCUGCUGGACAGCAACUGACGCUGAGGCGCGAAAGCGUGGGGAGCAAACAGG